Molecule: ribosomal RNA, 260 nt
Filed under: uncultured Eubacteriales bacterium
Lineage: Bacteria; Bacillati; Bacillota; Clostridia; Eubacteriales
Description: uncultured Clostridiales bacterium partial 16S ribosomal RNA
Rfam family: Bacterial small subunit ribosomal RNA
Source: RNAcentral
GUGCCAGCAGCCGCGGUAAUACGUAAGGACCGAGCGUUGUCCGGAAUCAUUGGGCGUAAAGGGUACGUAGGCGGUUAAAAAAGUUAGAAGUGAAAGGCUAUAGCUCAACUAUAGUAAGCUUUUAAAACUGUUUAACUUGAGAGAUGGAAGGGAAAGUGGAAUUCCUAGUGUAGCGGUGAAAUGCGCAGAUAUUAGGAGGAAUACCGGUGGCGAAGGCGACUUUCUGGCCAUUAUCUGACGCUGAGGUACGAAAGCGUGGG